UAAAGCUGGAGGUUGCAUAUCUCUGCGUUAUAUCAAGAAUUUAUCAGAAGAAAGAAUUAACGAUUAAGGAUUAUUUACUUCCAUUCUAAUUCAUAAAAUUCGUGCUAAUGUUAUUAAUGUCGGCCGGAUCGUAGAAGAAGGUCUGGUGAACGGAGAAAGGAAGAAAGAGAGUAUCAGGGAAAAGGACAUGCACCGGGACUGGCACAGGUGGCAUACACCGAGGUUGGCCAGGGUAUAGUGCUCAGCAGCAGCUACCUGUCGGCAAGAAGGAACGUGAUUAACAAACGUGAUCGAUCCUCGCGAUGCCCGAGAUAAUUCCGAGCGGGCAGUCUUCGCACGCACGAUCAAUAUUUAUAACGCGUGGUGGCCGGUGCUCCUGUUUCUUCGACGCGUGGAAUCUACUAUGGCUAAAGCGUGCACGAGCACGACGGUCUCGCGUGCGAACGUGAUCAUUUUCGAAGCGUUGCGGAUAGAAAUUGGCCGUGAACGACGCUCGAGAGGGAAACGCUACGAUCCAAACGUCAGACGCGACGAAUGGCAUCCCGGAAGAUGGAUCAUCGAUUUCUGGAUCACGAUCGAUUCGAUUUUAAUCAAGGAAAUGAGAUCGUAGGAUCCCCAACGACUAAAUAUGCCAUAUAUCGAUGAACGAUAUCGACAGAAAGUUUGGGACGAUAGUUAAAUGGUAGCCCAUGGAAAUGUCGCCUGGUAUUCGGUAAUAAAUUUGAGAAUGAAAGUGGACCUAGCUAGAAAGCGUUUAGAUGUAAUCAUUAAUGGACAUUUAUAGGAUAAUACUGUUCAACCUGAAUUUUAAUCUGUGAUGUCCAACGGGUAAUUCUCGUAGAGUUUACUUCCUUAAACCCGAAUUCGUAAACGAAAUUGCUCCGACAUCCUCAGUUUUAGAAAAUUGCUUGUUCGAAGAAGAAAGCAUGGAACAAAAUUGUCGAAACAAUUUUCAUUUGGAUUAAAUCGAGAAAAUAUUCGUCGGUAAUGCGUAUACGCGAUUUUACUGCCACGCAGAUAUUGCUCGCUUCUCUAAUCUCUACAGUGCCGUAGCUAUCUGUAAUCCCAGUACCAAGAAUA
Molecule: long non-coding RNA, 1080 nt
Organism: Eufriesea mexicana
Lineage: Eukaryota; Metazoa; Arthropoda; Insecta; Hymenoptera; Apidae
Exons: 4
Source: RefSeq, a predicted model, not a curated record